This 231-nucleotide unclassified non-coding RNA is filed under the name Hevea brasiliensis (rubber tree). Lineage: Eukaryota; Viridiplantae; Streptophyta; Magnoliopsida; Malpighiales; Euphorbiaceae. The record is from RNAcentral.
AUUCUAGGGUUUUCUGUAGUCUCUCUGGUGCUGCCCUGCGUUUCAAAGGCUUCAGAGUAAAUCGGUAGUCAUGGGUCACUCAAACGUCUGGAAUUCUCAUCCCAAGAACUACGGGCCUGGUUCUCGUGCCUGCCGUGUUUGUGGGAAUCCCCAUGGGUUGAUCCGGAAGUAUGGACUCAUGUGUUGCAGACAGUGCUUUCGUAACAAUACAUCACCAAAAUUAAACAUUUC